AAGGUUGUCUUGUGGGUUAAAAGGGAAUCGGGUGAGAGUCCCGGACAGUCCCGCUGCUGUGAGUUUUGUGGCAAUUCUACCUGAUUGAUUUGCAGAUAAGCAAGUCAAUGAAAUAGAGCGAUUGCCGUUCUGUUGCACGAGAGUCACUGCCGAACAAGAAGUUCGGUGGGAAGACGCAAGAGAAGAAACGAGUCAGAAGACCUGCCAAGUAUGC
RNAcentral lists this non-coding RNA (214 nucleotides) under human gut metagenome. The record is from RNAcentral.